AAUUCCACACUAUGUUAUAAUUCGACAAAUAUACAAUUAUACAAUUCCAAUUUCCACACUGCCAACAACCAAUAUACACCAACAUAAACUUCAAACUAUUAACCAAGUCCACAACAUGGAUUAACAAAAAAAAAAAAAACCUGCAGCAGUGAAGAUUAAAGACGCGGGCUGAUGGCAGGAGCCAGGAGGUUUGGACCAAAGAGCAUAUGUACCUUCCAGAUGCUGCAGCAACCAAGCUGAGGGUUAACGACGGCGUCGCUGUACUUGAGGGGAGGGGCUGUGCUGCUACUAAGGGGCUGUGUUAGGCGCUGACCGUGGUGUGAGACGAGGAAGAGACGCGAGGAAGAGAUCGAGAGGGGCUGAGCCGAACCGCACCAUGCACGCGCAGAGGCCGAGAGGGGCUGCGCCGAACCGCACCAUGCACGCGCAGAGGGGGAAGAUACUGCUAAGGGGUGGUGCCGCCGUUGUGGAGCUCCGCCGUGAGGAGAAAGAGACGCGAGGGAGAGGCGCGAGGGAGAGAGGCAAGGGCAGUAUGCAAUCGCGAUUUAGCUUUAGGGAUUUGAAUUUUGUGAUUGAAAUUGAAAUUUGAUUUUAAAUAUUUGUAAUUGAAUUAAACCGAACCGAUCGGUUUUUCGGUUCAAUUCGGUUUUGAACCGAACCGAAUUAAAACCAAUUGGUUCAGUAUUUUUUAAACCAUUCGGUUUUUGCUCAUAGAACCGAACCGAACCGAACCGAAUUUUUCGGUUCGGUUCGGCAAAAACCGAACCGUUUGCCCACCCCUAGAUAUUAGUAAAAAGAUUCUCACACUUGUUCCCAGUGCUUUUUCAUAUUUUAAAAAUAUUCAAUAAUAGUCUCAUUAUCAUUAUUUUAUGAAUUUCAAUGGAGUACCAAAUUUUUAAUCAUGAGUAUCUUACUUAGACCGUUCCUCCUGAACAUUCUUAAACCACUUCACAAUGGAGUACCAAAAAAGAGCUGAGAAGUGAGAGCAGAGGGCUCUGUUUUUUCAAUUGAGAGCGGCGAGCAAGAUUUGAGAGAGAAGAAAAUCGUUUCGAACUUUCGCUAAUAUUUUGAGUUGUAAAAUGUCAGUUCGUGCCCACCACAAAAGACAAUUUAUAAAAUUGAUUCAUUAUUAAAUUCUUUUUAUAAAAUUGUCCCCACUGAAAAAUAAUUAUCCCCAAAAUUAACAACCCUCUACAUCUGCUUCUUGGCUUCUCCUCACACAAUAGCAAAUCAUCAAAUCCUCCCCUGAAUGAUGGAGAAACUAAAAGAAAUUAAAGCUUUAGUUAAGAUAUGUAAAUGAGAAGGUGGUGCUAGUAUCAAGAAGACAGCAGCAAGGAAACAAGAAUAAUGAAGAUUGCAAAGCGAUCCAUUGAGAUCGAUGAUCGAAUGAUUAAUUUUUCUAAAUCAA
RNAcentral lists this long non-coding RNA (1408 nucleotides) under Citrus sinensis (sweet orange). Its description in RNAcentral is "long non-coding RNA (CSIN_LNC000204)". Lineage: Eukaryota; Viridiplantae; Streptophyta; Magnoliopsida; Sapindales; Rutaceae. The record is from RNAcentral.